AUUGAACGCUUUCUUCAGGCCUAACACAUGCAAGUCGAACGGUAACAGGAAGCAGCUUGCUGCUUCGCUGACGAGUGGCGGACGGGUGAGUAAUGUCUGGGAAACUGCCUGAUGGAGGGGGAUAACUACUGGAAACGGUAGCUAAUACCGCAUAACGUCGCAAGACCAAAGAGGGGGACCUUAGGGCCUCUUGCCAUCGGAUGUGCCCAGAUGGGAUUAGCUAGUAGGUGGGGUAACGGCUCACCUAGGCGACGAUCCCUAGCUGGUCUGAGAGGAUGACCAGCCACACUGGAACUGAGACACGGUCCAGACUCCUACGGGAGGCAGCAGUGGGGAAUAUUGCACAAAGGGCGCAAGCCUGAUGCAGCCAUGCCGCGUGUAUGAAGAAGGCCUUCGGGUUGUAAAGUACUUUCAGCGGGGAGGAAGGGAGUAAAGUUAAUACCUUUGCUCAUUGACGUUACCCGCAGAAGAAGCGCCGGCUAACUCCGUG
Molecule: ribosomal RNA, 490 nt
Filed under: uncultured bacterium
Lineage: Bacteria
Description: partial 16S ribosomal RNA
Rfam family: Bacterial small subunit ribosomal RNA
Source: RNAcentral